GAAGCAACACCGAGGAGCAGGUAUGGGAUUUAGAAGAAUUCCUGUCCAAAGGGACUGAGGACAUCAAAGCUGUCAGAGCAGGAGGAGAAUAUGGUGGUGUGACGCAGCUCACAGCGGCCACUCCAGUGGUGAUGUCUGUUAUUUGUCAAGUAGGAUGCCGUGUACAAUCCUGAUUUGAUGGAGACGGAUGUGAGAGCACGGAGGAACAUCUGGUGAAACUUCUGAAAUGCCUGCUUCGCUGCUGCUGCUACUGAGUGAUCCAGAAUCUCUGGAGGAGAAGGCCCCGAGUCCUCAGCUUUGCUCGUUGCUCGGCGGCCAGGGCGGGGUCGAAGCGCUCAGCAGAGGAUAGUGCUCGGAGAGGCUGCGUCGGAGGGGCUGGUCGGAGGCUCAAAGUUUUCAGACGGACUCAGAGUCCGCUGCGGUCGGGUGCUUCCAAUGGUGCUGCAUCGGCAAGUUGGCGGCGCUUGGAGGUUCAUGGAAGGGAGAGCUUCUCCUUUCUGCUGCCUGUGUGAGAUGAUGAGUCUAUUGGGACUUUGAGACUUUUUUUUACCGUGCCCAUGGUCUGUUCUUUAUCAAAUUAUGGUAUUGCUUUGCACUGUUGUAACUGUAUGUUAUAAUUAUGUGGUUUUGUCAGUUUUAGUCUUGGUUUGUCCUGUGUUUUUCUUGUGAUAUCAUUCUGGAGGAACGUUGUAUCAUUUUUUAAUGCAUGCAUUUCUAAGUGAAAAUAAAUAAGGACCGAGUGUCCUCAUAAUCUAAUCUAAAUCUAAAAAUCAAUGAAACUACAUUGCAUGACAAUGAAGUCCUUCUGAUUU
Molecule: long non-coding RNA, 812 nt
Organism: Mobula hypostoma (lesser devil ray)
Lineage: Eukaryota; Metazoa; Chordata; Chondrichthyes; Myliobatiformes; Myliobatidae
Exons: 3
Source: RefSeq, a predicted model, not a curated record